AUGCCUCCGAGAAACAGGACAUAUGCAUCGGGUAGUAAAAAAAGGAAAAAGAAGAAGGCCGUAGAUAAAUUGGUACAAUCACAGCGUGGGCAUCUGCACUUAUAUUACAAGAGUACUUCCACUACUUCGAUAAACCCAGGUGAUGAGUUGGCGAUAGUUGCCAUAGAGGAAGAGCAACAAACUAAUGUGAAUUCAGAAUUCGAUCAGCAAGAAGAAAAUGUCGAAACCAACAUCGACGACAGCAAUGUAAGUGGCUCCGAGAAUGUACGUAAUUCAUCGGAUGCACAAGAACAGUCUCCUAGUGUUGAUGAACCAGUCUAUACUCUUGAUAUUUAUGAUCCAAGAAAUUGGGAUAAUCUUGACAAUAAAGCAAGAGAUGUAUUAGUUGAGGAAGGGCCAAUGAGAGAGGAAGAGAAUAAAAUGGAAUACCGUGUAGAUGAUGCAGGAAGACAUUUUUCCUAUGCUCACUAUCAUAGGAAAUUAAGCAAUGGAGAGAAACAUGAUAGAAAAUGGCUAGUUUAUUCAGAAGGUGUUGACAAAGUUUUUUGUGAGAAGCUUAAAGAACAUGAAAAUAGUGUUGAUCAUAUUAAUAACAUGAACAAGUGGAAUGAAUUAAGGAUUAGAUUACGGAAAGAGGAAACUAUUGACAAGGACUUGCAGCAUCAAAUAACAAAGGAGAAAGAACGUGUCAGGCAAGUUUUGUUAAGAAUAAUAGCCAUUCUUUACAAGGAUGAUAAUGGUAAUUUCUUAGCUUGUGUUGAGAUGAUUGCAGAAUUUGAUUUGGUAAUGCAAGACCACCUUAGACGUAUCCAGAACAAAGAAAUUCAUUACCAUUAUCUCAGUCAUAAAAUUCAGAACGAGUUGAUAUCUCUUUUGGCUGCUGACAUCACAUGUUCUAUCAUAAAGGUUGUUAAAGAGGCCAAGUAUUUCUCUGUUAUCCUAGAUUGUACCCCUGAUGUCAGUCAUCAAGAACAAAUGACUUUUUUAGUUCGUUGUGUUAAUUUGUCGGAUGGGAAAAUAAAAAUUGAGGAGUACUUUCUGGGGUUACUUGAUGUGAAUCCAAGAGCAUUAUACAUGCCAUGUGCUUGUCAUAGUCUUAAUCUCACUCUCUGUGAUAUGGCAAAAACAUGUGAGAAAGCUGUUUCAUUUUUUGGAAUUGUUCAACGCAUAUAUAUAUUAUUUGCUUGUUCUACGAAAAGUUGGAAUGUUUUGCUUAAACAUGUUCCUAGUUUGACUGUGAAAUCAUUAUCUAACACUCGUUGGGAGAGUCGAAUCAAAAGUGUUACAGCAAUAAGAUAUCAAGCCAUUGAGUUAAGGUCAGCUUUGUCUGAGUUACGUGAUGCUUCUGACACUGAACCUAAGGAUAAAAGCGAUGCAAAAAAUUUAUUUGAUGCACUUGGUCACUUUGAGUUUCUAGUUGCCAUGUGUAUUGACUCUGCUUUGAAGCAAAUAAAAGGUAUAACAUAAUAUUUUGAGAAGUACAGAGAUGAUGGGUUUUCUUCAAGUUUGACCAUCGCCAAAGGUAUUGCGACUGAAAUGGGAAUUGAUCCCGUGUUUCCAAUGAAACAGAAGGCUUUUCGUGUUAAAUAUUUUUUUGUUUUGGUUGAUAUGGCGGUCACUUCUUUGAAGGAUAGAUUUAAAGAACUAAUGGUGUUCAAAGAUAUCUUUGGAUUUUUAUUGAGCUCGGGCACCCUGAAGUCAUUAAGUGAUAAUGAACUUGAAGAGUGUUGCACAAAAUUUGCAGAAACAUUCUCUCUUGAUGGUUCAUCUGAUGUAGAGGUAUAUGAUCUUAUUUCUGAAUUGAAGAUUAUGAGAUUCACUUUGCCAAAUGGCGUAAUGUCUGCCAUGGAGAUUUUUGGGCAUGUUAGAGAAGUUGAUUGUUAUCGGAAUAUCUCCAUUGCUUAUCGCAUCUUAUUUACUGUGCAUGUGACGGCCGCAUCGGCCGAGAGAAGCUUUUCAAAGCUGAAAUUGUUGAAGAAUUAUUUGAGGUCAACAAUGACUCAAGAAAGGUUAAAUGGUUUGGCUACAUUAUGCAUCGAGAAGAAAUUAUUGGAUGAGAUUGACAUCGACCCCAUCAUAAGCGACUUUGCAUCGAGGAAUGUUAGAAGAAAUUUUUAA
This 2118-nucleotide ribosomal RNA is filed under the name Triticum aestivum (bread wheat). Its description in RNAcentral is "partial small subunit ribosomal RNA". Lineage: Eukaryota; Viridiplantae; Streptophyta; Magnoliopsida; Poales; Poaceae. The record is from RNAcentral.